Molecule: ribosomal RNA, 253 nt
Filed under: uncultured bacterium
Lineage: Bacteria
Description: partial 16S ribosomal RNA
Rfam family: Bacterial small subunit ribosomal RNA
Source: RNAcentral
UACAGAGGUCUCAAGCGUUGUUCGGAUUCAUUGGGCGUAAAGGGUGUGUAGGUGGCGCGCUAAGUCGGGUGUGAAAUUUCGGAGCUUAACUACGAAACUGCAUUCGAUACUGGCGUGCUUGAGGACUGGAGAGGAGACUGGAAUUCAUGGUGUAGCAGUGAAAUGCGUAGAGAUCAUGAGGAAGACCAGUGGCGAAGGCGGGUCUCUGGACAGUUCCUGACACUGAGACCCGAAGGCCAGGGGAGCAAACGGG